RNAcentral lists this ribosomal RNA (253 nucleotides) under uncultured bacterium. RNAcentral's name for it is "partial 16S ribosomal RNA". It matches the Rfam family "Bacterial small subunit ribosomal RNA", at positions 524 to 776 of the family's 1533-position model. The record is from RNAcentral.
UACGGAGGGUGCAAGCGUUAUCCGGAUUCACUGGGUUUAAAGGGUGCGUAGGUGGGCAGGUAAGUCAGUGGUGAAAUCUCCGGGCUUAACUCGGAAACUGCCGUUGAUACUAUCUGUCUUGAAUAUCGUGGAGGUUAGCGGAAUAUGUCAUGUAGCGGUGAAAUGCUUAGAUAUGACAUAGAACACCGAUUGCGAAGGCAGCUAACUACACGAUCAUUGACACUGAGGCACGAAAGCGUGGGGAGCAAAAGGG